Long non-coding RNA from Homo sapiens (human), 959 nucleotides. Ensembl annotates it as mir-100-let-7a-2-mir-125b-1 cluster host gene. Its record names the gene MIR100HG. The record is from Ensembl. Lineage: Eukaryota; Metazoa; Chordata; Mammalia; Primates; Hominidae.
AUGCUCAGUGUAAAUUCUCCUGGAGCCUGUCAAGCUAUGUUUGAACUCGUUCCAGGAUAGUGGAUUUACUUUUUUUUCCCCACCAGGAAGAAUACUCGAUUAGACUGCAUUUUGCCUUGCUUUUCCUUCUCCCUUUCUCUCUCUUUCUUUCUUUCUUUCUUUCUUUCUUUCUUUCUUUCUUUCUUUCUUUCUUUCUUUCUUUCUUUCUUUCUUUUUCUUUCUCUCUCUCUCUCUCUUUCUUUCUUUCCUUUCUUUUCUUUCUUUCCUCUUUCUCUUUCCUUCUUUCUUUUUUUCUUCUUUCUUUCCUUCCUUCCUUCCAUCUUUCUUUUCUUUCUUUCCAUUUUUUUUUUCCUCCAGAAGAAUGGAAACAGUAUUCUUUUCCGAUCAGUUCAGUAAUACAAUGUCCUUCAGUGUCCAUAUGAGCAUUUCAGUGGAGAAGAAAAGAAACUUUGCUACCUGGGAACUGAAGACUACUUAGGCAAAGAUGGGCUGUCUGGAAAGCUGGACUCAGCCUGGAGCAUGUUCCCCAGAUUGCUAUUUUGUGAAGGCUUCCGCAUACAAAUGACUCAGAUCCAAACAUUCAAAAAUGAUCUUGGAGGGCCAUCUGGUUCUUGCUGGUUCUAAAAGCUUCCUUCAGCCUGGAGUAUGGAUCCAGUACAAAAGAUAGUGAGAGCUGUUCAUUGAGGUUUAACAUGUUCCACUGACCGAGGCUAGAAGCUGGCUUUAAAAAAUAGCCAACACUGAUGCUCCAAGGGCCAAUUGCUGAUGCUUGUCACAGUGAAGAUCCCGGUGUUACACAUCCAAUCGUUCACCUCCUUCCAAGACUAUGACAUUCCAGGAAACCUUCACUGCUAAGAGGAACUAAGAUCUAGAGUAUCUCCUCGAGGAAGUACAACUGACUUGUCUUUGGACAAAAUUGAGAAGAACUCAUAAACUUGGCUUCCUCGCUUCUGCUCCUC